AUUCGUCACACUAUCAUUAACUGAAUCCAUAGGUUAAUGAGGCGAACCGGGGGAACUGAAACAUCUAAGUACCCCGAGGAAAAGAAAUCAACCGAGAUUCCCCCAGUAGCGGCGAGCGAACGGGGAGCAGCCCAGAGCCUGAAUCAGUGUGUGUGUUAGUGGAAGCGUCUGGAAAGGCGCGCGAUACAGGGUGACAGCCCCGUACACAAAAAUGCACAUG
RNAcentral lists this ribosomal RNA (220 nucleotides) under Escherichia coli. Its description in RNAcentral is "partial 23S ribosomal RNA". It matches the Rfam family "Bacterial large subunit ribosomal RNA", at positions 138 to 393 of the family's 2925-position model. Lineage: Bacteria; Pseudomonadati; Pseudomonadota; Gammaproteobacteria; Enterobacterales; Enterobacteriaceae. The record is from RNAcentral.